This 3689-nucleotide long non-coding RNA is filed under the name Numida meleagris (helmeted guineafowl). RNAcentral describes it as "lncRNA (ENSNMEG00000022838.1)". The record is from RNAcentral. Lineage: Eukaryota; Metazoa; Chordata; Aves; Galliformes; Numididae.
AGCACUCUGAAAGAUUUGUUUGAUUUUCAGAUUUGAAUAAACUCUCACACUCAAACCCAAAUAGUCAAACCUCCUAACUGCACCAGGGCUCAGAUGGAACUGGAAGAAAAUCAUGUUGUUUCCAGAUGGGCCCUUCACCCAACCCUCAGCAUUCAGAACACACCAGGAACUUCCUCACAGCCCGCUGAAUCUGGCCUGAGCUUCUGCUUGAUUUUAGCAGUUGCACUGCACAUCUAUUUCUCCCUGUGCUUUAAAAGCAAUGCUGGUGGAACCCCAGAGCUGGUGGCUGGGAUGGCCCUGAGCAUCAGGUCCACAACACUGAUCUUCUUAAUGCAUGUCAACCCAUCACUGAAGGUCAUAAAGUCAUGUUUUCCUUAUGAACCAGAAGAUAAACAGAAAUUUCAAAAAACACUACUGUUAUAGUAGCACAAAGCAGAGGGCACAGCACUGUAAGUGAUCUCAUAGAUACUGAAUACGUGUCCUUGCACCAUAUACAACUUAAUAAGCAUCAACAUCCAUCAUAAGAGUGCUCAGACUGUCGGUCUCCCUGGCAGAGAGGCAAAGAGAAAGUGUCUCCACUCACCUUUAUGCUAUAUGCAAGAACAAGGUGAAUUCUGUAUUAUCCAGUUUACAAGCAAGCGAGUUCCAUUUUGCUGCGAUACCCUCACUCGCGAUGGCUUCUUCCUGUUACUCUCACUAGAAGACCGUUUCAGAGACUUCACUCUUCUCAUGGAUGGAGACCCUCUAAACUCCAGCCAAGAUGGACUAACUUUCAAUUUAUAUCCAUUUGUUUUAGUGACAACAUUGUCUGGUAACUCAAAUAACUUCUUGCCCUUCCUAGCAUUUGCCCUGCCCUUCGUUCCCCUCCCCUGGAUGUAUUUAUAGACAGCAAUUGUAUAGCUCUCAUUCUUUGUUUUGCCUGGUGGUACUUCUCUGCAUUUCUCUCAGUGCUCUUUCCAAAUUAUGGGGGACGGACUCUUACAGAACUCUGGAAGAGCUCUGACCACCAUCUCCUACACUGGUGUCUGUAUGUGCAUACCCUCCCUAAGCCACCUACAUCAUAUCUGAGGAGGAUCACUUUUGCCUCCUGCGUGACUCCAUUGCAGCCCUCUGAGCAUCCUUCUAUGACUGACCAAGACGUAAUAGCCCUUCUCCUGACCCCUUUCCAACCCACAGUUUAUAACAGAAACCAUUUCCAUUUUGUGUUGUUAAAUUGUCCCACACCUGCAGCUCUCAAGUUCUCCCACUCCGCCUGUCUAAAAGUAUGGAUGUUUUUGUUUUCUGAGCAUGCCGCUUUUAGCAGCAAUGAGAGCAUUAAUAAUUUCAGAGAUUAGCUGAAACCAGGAUGCUUGAAAUUCUCUAUCGGUAACCUCUAGGUACCCCAACAAUUCCUUUUUCAGAACAGAUGGUAUCGUACAUACGUAUUCUCAGCCCUUACACAUUUUAUCAAACAUUUAUUGCUUUCAUCCUAUUUUUAUUCUGUUUUAUCUCCGUGUCUUUAUUUAUUCUUUUUUGCAGAAUGUAUAUAAAAUUUGCACAUGGUUAAUUAAUGGAACUGUAAAUGUGAUGUUACUUUUUGUCCACUCUUCUCUCUCCUUUGUUUUAGCAGAUCUUUUAAGAACUUGAUUCUGUACUUGCAAUUUAAUUUGCUGCUUCUUUCAGCAUUUUAGGAUGGAUUAUGGACUUCAUUCCACUCUGAGCCUAUUCCGCUCUUUGGAUUUAAUUUUCAAGUUUGGAAAUGUUAGUUAUUACUUCUACAGAUGCUUCCCAUCUUGUUUCCAUUUUUCUACCAAAUCUAUGCCAUUCUCCUCACAGAAAAGAAAAAAAAAAAAGGGAAAGAAAAAUAAUUAUUAAGAAGUUUGGGCAUUAUCUACAUUAUUUCUAAUCUCUACUCCAUCCUCACCACAUACCAGGCCUCUUUUUAUCUCUGUGGUACAUGAAGCUUUUAGUCUUCAAAUUUGGUUUACAGAUGGUAAGUCUUAGCAAAUAUGAUUGCACUUCUUGUUGUCCAAGAGACAGUUGCUUCCCCUAUAGUUUUCACUCUCUUUGCUCACUCCUGAUAUCUUUUAUUGAGGAUUUAUUCAUCCAGCAAAGUGCUAACAUCUUUCGUUCUCUACUUAUGGUGGGAAGUGCAGAUUUGUUUUCAUUCAUAUUUAAUUUAAAGAAACCCUAAUCCCAGAUUUGGAACUUCCAUCCACUUGACAUCACUUGCUUGUUUCUCUAGUUUCUCAAAAUUUGUCCUUCUGAAGUCCUGUAUUUAACAUGCCUAUUUUUGUUUAUUCUUUCACAUAUUUUCAAUUGAAUUCAGUUGGGAUAACUUUAGCAAGGCUAUUUUCUACAACCAGCUGCUCUAUGUCAUCACUACCUAACAAAGACCACCUAGAAUAGCGUCGUACUCGUCCAGCGACUGCUCGGUGAUGAAAUCUGCCAGAUAUCAUGCCCUGGAAUAACUGACUCUGCCGUUAUCGGUAACAUUUUCUUUAUACUCUAUUUCUGUGUAGUUAAGAUUUCCCAUAAUGAGACAAUGCUUGGAAGCUGAAGUUUAGUCAUCUCUGUUAUAGACGUGUAAUCAUUCUUCUGCAGUCCUUCAGAAGACCCUUAUUCACCAUAUGUUGCCCCAAAAGUUCAACAGAUUUCAUCCUGCCCAUGCGGUCUCUGCAUUGUGCCCAAGCGAUGCCUUUGUCUCUCUGCUUUUGUUUUUAGCCUACACAUCAGCUGAAGAGCAUACCAGUCAUGGAUCAUUCAUCUACCACAUUUUGCUGUCCUCAAGAGAUUCAGGAUCAUCCUGGGCCGUGCACUCCUAGCCUGCGUCUCCUUGCACACAGUUUCUGUAUACAAAUAUCUCAGCUUGCCUUUUAUGACAUUGUACCUCCUUUUUUAUUUUGAAUUUCAUUGCUCACAUUCCUUUUAUUCCUGACAUCCAGGACAUUUGCCUCACGUUCUCACCCACAUUAAUGCUUAUUUUUCCUGCCCACAUUGCUUCCAUCUGACAUUUCUUUCUUCCCACACCAUUUCCUGCUUUUCAGAGCCAGGCAUGGAAAUCACUCACAAGCGGCCCCCAAGCUUCUCUCCUAUUUGCUUGCUUAUACGCAUAUAUAAAGGUAUAUUGUUUCCCUGUAUUAUUUUGUAGUACUGUUACAUGAUCCAAUUAUGUUAUGGAGUCACAGAAUCAUUGGAGUUGGAAGGGACCUUAAAGGUCACCUAGCCCAACCCCCCGCAAUGUGGAUAUAUUGCUAUCAAUUACAGCAAUCCUAACUGCAGGAAAAGAAUACCACACAUGCUCAGAUGGAGUUCAUCUGCUUUCUGUGAAAAAUCCUCUUUCCUCUCAAAAGAUAAAUGCUUUACAACGCUCCCCAUAACAUCAAUUCUUAAAACAUCUGCUACUCUUUAUUAUCUCACAUGCUUUAACACACCCUCUUCAGGAAUGGAGCUCUGUUGUUGCAGCUUUUCCUUCGGGACAAACCGACUCAGACACACUUCCCAUUUUGUGUUCAUCUCAGUGCUCUCUCCUUCCACCCUUCAUACUACAGUGUGAGCUGAUGUAAAGCUGUUUCAUUCCAGAAAUGACGGUGUUGCCACAGAGGUCAACGUGGCUUGUUUUACAGAUGAAAGCAAACAAAACAACUUGCACACUCACACUGUGUAUGCAUCUGACUGCAAUAAAAUUAUUUUAGCUCAAAAUUAUGUCA